This 500-nucleotide ribosomal RNA is filed under the name uncultured bacterium. RNAcentral describes it as "partial 16S ribosomal RNA". It matches the Rfam family "Bacterial small subunit ribosomal RNA", at positions 30 to 523 of the family's 1533-position model. The record is from RNAcentral.
AUUGAACGCUGGCGGAAUGCUUUACACAUGCAAGUCGAACGGCAGCACGGACUUCGGUCUGGUGGCGAGUGGCGAACGGGUGAGUAAUGUAUCGGAACGUGCCCAGUCGUGGGGGAUAACGUAGUGAAAAUUACGCUAAUACCGCAUACGAUCUAUGGAUGAACGCGGGGGAUCGCAAGACCUCGCGCGAUUGGAGCGGCCGAUAUCAGAUUAGGUAGUUGGUGGGGUAAAGGCCCACCAAGCCAACGAUCUGUAGCUGGUCUGAGAGGACGGCCAGCCACACUGGAACUGAGACACGGUCCAGACUCCUACGGGAGGCAGCAGUGGGGAAUUUUGGACAAUGGGCGAAAGCCUGAUCCAGCCAUUCCGCGUGCAGGAUGAAGGCCCUCGGGUUAUAAACUGCUUUUGUACAGAACGAAAAGGUUUCUACUAAUACUAGGAGCUCAUGACGGUACUGUAAGAAUAAGCACCGGCUAACUACGUGCCAGCCGCCGCAGUAA